RNAcentral lists this ribosomal RNA (729 nucleotides) under uncultured bacterium. RNAcentral describes it as "bacterial SSU rRNA". It matches the Rfam family "Bacterial small subunit ribosomal RNA", at positions 769 to 1501 of the family's 1533-position model. The record is from RNAcentral.
CAAACAGGAUUAGAUACCCUGGUAGUCCACGCCCUAAACGAUGCACACUAGUUGUUGCUAUGCUAGACAUAGCAGUAAUGCAGUUAACACAGUAAGUGUGCCGCCUGGGGAGUACGGUCGCAAGAUUAAAACUCAAAGGAAUAGACGGGGACCCGCACAAGCGGUGGAGCAUGUGGUUUAAUUCGACGAUACGCGAAGAACCUUACCUGGCCUUGACAUAGUAAGAACUUUUUAGAGAUAAAUUGGUGCUAGUUUACUAGAGCUUACAUACAGGUGCUGCACGGCUGUCGUCAGCUCGUGUCGUGAGAUGUUGGGUUAAGUCCCGCAACGAGCGCAACCCUCGUGUUUAGUUACUAACAGUUCGGCUGAGGACUCUAGACAGACUGCCUGGGUAACCAGGAGGAAGGUGAGGACGACGUCAAGUCAUCAUGGCCCUUACGGCCAGGGCUACACACGUGCUACAAUGGGGUAUACAAAGAGCCGCGAUACUGUGAAGUGGAGCAAAUCUCAAAAAUAUCUCCCAGUUCGGAUAGCAGUCUGCAACUCGACUGCUUGAAGUUGGAAUCGCUAGUAAUCGUAGAUCAGCAAUGCUACGGUGAAUACGUUCCCGGGUCUUGUACUCACCGCCCGUCACACCAUGGGAGUUGAACUCAUUCGAAGCGGGGAUGCUAAAGUAGCUACCCUCCACAGUGGAUUCAGCGACUGGGGUGAAGUCGUAACAAGGUAACC